RNAcentral lists this ribosomal RNA (508 nucleotides) under uncultured bacterium. RNAcentral's name for it is "bacterial SSU rRNA". It matches the Rfam family "Bacterial small subunit ribosomal RNA", at positions 14 to 518 of the family's 1533-position model. The record is from RNAcentral.
CGAUUCUGGCUCAGGAUGAACGCUGGCGGCGUGCCUAACACAUGCAAGUCGAACGAAGCACUUCUGGUUGGAGAUCGUCGAAGACCGGAUUGACUUAGUGGCGGACGGGUGAGUAAUGUAUGAGCAACCUGCCUUUCAGAGGGGGACAACAGUUGGAAACGACUGCUAAUACCGCAUAAUGUAUUGAGGAGGCAUCUCCAUGAUACCAAAGGAGCAAUCCGCUGAAAGAUGGGCUCAUAUCUGAUUAGUUAGUUGGCAGGGUAACGGCCUACCAAGACUGCGAUCAGUAGCCGGACUGAGAGGUUGAACGGCCACAUUGGGACUGAGAUACGGCCCAGACUCCUACGGGAGGCAGCAGUGGGGAAUAUUGGGCAAUGGGCGAAAGCCCUGACCCAGCAACGCCGCGUGAAGGAAGAAGGUCUUCGGAUUGUAAACUUCUUUUAUGAGGGACGAAGGACGUGACGGUACCUCAUGAAUAAGCCACGGCUAACUACGUGCCAGCCGCCGC